Molecule: transfer-messenger RNA, 356 nt
Filed under: Gammaproteobacteria bacterium
Lineage: Bacteria; Pseudomonadati; Pseudomonadota; Gammaproteobacteria
Rfam family: transfer-messenger RNA
About the family: Bacterial tmRNA, also known as 10Sa RNA or SsrA, is named for its dual tRNA and mRNA-like properties. Its role is to liberate the mRNA from a stalled ribosome.
Source: RNAcentral
GGGGGUGACAUGGCUUCGACGUGGGUGUCAAAACUUGCGGUGCAUGCCGAGGCGACAGCGCAGCCUCGUAAACUAUCCAGCUGUACUGUUAUAGUUGCAAACGACAAUAACUACGCUCUAGCGGCUUAAGCCCGUUAGCAUCUGACUGAUCCGUGCUUGUGCGGUCAACCCAGAUGUCAUUUUCACAAGAUCGCGGCUAGAUACGCCUUAGGUCGAACCGCUAAAACUUACUCAGGCUCGUGAACUGAAAUCCUGCCCGUCGGAGUUCAGCGAAUUAAAUUGUAGACGGAACUAAGCAUGUAGUACCAAUAGCAGAGAGCUUGCGGACGCGGGUUCAAUUCCCGCCACCUCCACCA